AAACUUUGCAAUAAGCGAAAGCUUGACAGGGCUAUCCCGAGUGCCAUCCGCUGAGGAAGGCUUUUACCCAGUCUAGAACGCUGGGGGAAUAAGGAGAGGGCAAGUCUGGUGUCAGCCGCCGCGGUAAUACCAGCUCUUCGAGUGGUGUGGAUGUUUAUUGGGCCUAAAGCAUCCGUAGCUGGCUAAGUUAGUCCCUUGUUAAAUCCACCGAAUUAAUCGUUGGAUUGCGGGGGAUACUGCUUGGCUAGGGGACGAGAGAGGCAGACGGUAUUUUUGGGGUAGGGGUGAAAUCCUAUAAUCCCAGGAAGACCACCAGUGGCGAAGGCUGUCUGCUAGAACGCGCCCGACGGUGAGGGAUGAAAGCUGGGGGAGCGAACCGGAUUAGAUACCCGGGUAGUCCCAGCUGUAAACGAUGCAGGCUAGGUGUUUGGACGGCCACGUGCCGUUCUAGUGUCGCAGGGAAGCUGUUAAGCCUGCCGCCUGGGGAGUACGAUCGCAAGAUUGAAACUUAAAGGAGUUGGCGGGGGAGCACCACAAGGGGUGAAGCUUGCGGUUU
This 556-nucleotide ribosomal RNA is filed under the name uncultured Thermofilum sp. RNAcentral describes it as "bacterial SSU rRNA". It matches the Rfam family "Archaeal small subunit ribosomal RNA", at positions 345 to 903 of the family's 1478-position model. Lineage: Archaea; Thermoproteati; Thermoproteota; Thermoprotei; Thermofilales; Thermofilaceae. The record is from RNAcentral.